CGGACUAUGGCGCAGCUUGGUAGCGCACUACACUGGGGGUGUAGGGGUCGCAGGUUCAAAUCCUGUUAGUCCGAC
Molecule: transfer RNA, 75 nt
Filed under: Corynebacterium ammoniagenes
Lineage: Bacteria; Bacillati; Actinomycetota; Actinomycetes; Mycobacteriales; Corynebacteriaceae
Also listed under: 2 other names
Description: tRNA-Pro
Rfam family: tRNA
About the family: Transfer RNA (tRNA) molecules are approximately 80 nucleotides in length. Their secondary structure includes four short double-helical elements and three loops (D, anti-codon, and T loops).
Source: RNAcentral